UACGUAGGGGGCGAGCGUUGUCCGGAAUGAUUGGGCGUAAAGGGCGCGUAGGCGGCCCGUUAAGUCUGGAGUGAAAGUCCUGUUUUUAAGAUGGGAAUUGCUUUGGGUGCUGAUGGGCUUGAGUGGAGGAGAGGUAAGUGGAAUUCCCAGUGUAGCGGUGAAAUGCGUAGAGAUUGGGAGGAACACCAGUGGCGAAGGCGACUUACUGGACUGUAACUGACGCUGAGGCGCGAAAGUGUGGGGAGCAAAC
RNAcentral lists this ribosomal RNA (250 nucleotides) under uncultured prokaryote. RNAcentral describes it as "partial 16S ribosomal RNA". It matches the Rfam family "Bacterial small subunit ribosomal RNA", at positions 524 to 773 of the family's 1533-position model. The record is from RNAcentral.